CAGGCUUUGGGAGGCAGAGGCAGGUU
RNAcentral lists this non-coding RNA (26 nucleotides) under Cricetulus griseus (Chinese hamster). The record is from RNAcentral. Lineage: Eukaryota; Metazoa; Chordata; Mammalia; Rodentia; Cricetidae.